This is a long non-coding RNA of Sciurus carolinensis (gray squirrel), 645 nucleotides long. RefSeq lists it as uncharacterized. The transcript has 2 exons. NCBI's taxonomy places the organism in Eukaryota, Metazoa, Chordata, Mammalia, Rodentia, Sciuridae. The record is from RefSeq and is a predicted model, not a curated record.
GCCCACUGCUGGCGCCUGCAGCCACCUGGAGCCAGGCCGCCCUCGGGCUUGUCGAAUCUGUAAGCAAACAAGGACACAGCCAGGACGCGUCCUUUCCAAGGCGCCCUUAUCAUUAGGGCCCCACAGCCGCGGGCUCUGCCUAAGGAGGGCCUGGCCUCGCCUCGCCCGAGUGGCGGGGUCCCCGCAGAGCUGGUGGUCUGCGGCGGGACACGCGGCCGAUCCCCGCUUCUCUGGGAAGGCCUCGGUCCAGGACUGCGUGUCCUCGCAGUUCAGUGCUUCCCGCCGUCAGCCCGCCAGCCGCCCUCCCUGACCCACCUCGCUGGGCCGGCUUGGAGAUGGAGUCUGUCUGGGUGGGCAGACAGGCGCAGGCUUGGCCUUGGCCGAGCUUCUGCAGGAAACUGAGAGCAGCAUUCAAACAGCACCCGACCCACCACACGCUGAACAGACUGCUGGUGGUACAAAGGGAGCAAAGCGAGUCUGAAAGGAGGCUAUGAAUGUGUACGCGUACUUAGGAGGGGAAGACAAGGAAACCAUUAAAAACGUGGACCUGCGGAGAAAGAAGGAAGAACAGACGGAAGCCAGACUUCUUUGCCAAUGCCUUGUUUUGUAGCUUUGGCUUUGGAAACAUGUAAUUUGUAUGAUUAC